AUGAACGCUGGCGGCGUGCCUAAUACAUGCAAGUCGAGCGAACAGAUGAGGAGCUUGCUCCUCUGACGUUAGCGGCGGACGGGUGAGUAACACGUGGAUAACCUACCUAUAAGACUGGGAUAACUUCGGGAAACCGGAGCUAAUACCGGAUAAUAUAUUGAACCGCAUGGUUCAAUAGUGAAAGACGGUUUUGCUGUCACUUAUAGAUGGAUCCGCGCCACAUUAGCUAGUUGGUAAGGUAACGGCUUACCAAGGCAACGAUGCGUAGCCGACCUGAGAGGGUGAUCGGCCACACUGGAACUGAGACAUGGUCCAGACUCCUACGGGAGGCAGCAGUAGGGAAUCUUCCGCAAAGGGCGAAAGCCUGGCGGAGCAACGCCGCGUGAGUGAUGAAGGUCUUCGGAUCGUAAAACUCUGUUAUUAGGAAAGAACAAAUGUGUAAGUAACUAUGCACGUCUUGACGGUACCUAAUCAGAAAGCCACGGCUAACUACGUG
Molecule: ribosomal RNA, 496 nt
Filed under: uncultured bacterium
Lineage: Bacteria
Description: partial 16S ribosomal RNA
Rfam family: Bacterial small subunit ribosomal RNA
Source: RNAcentral